Molecule: unclassified non-coding RNA, 317 nt
Filed under: uncultured fungus
Lineage: Eukaryota; Fungi
Description: partial contains 18S rRNA, ITS1, 5.8S rRNA, ITS2 and 28S rRNA
Source: RNAcentral
AAGGAUCAUUAUCACGUUAUCCACGUAUCAACCAAUUGUGCACUGUCUUAACCUUUAAGGAUUCAGCUGGGUAGCUCAACUCAUUGUGUGAUUUUGAGUGACUAUCUAAUUUAAAUGUUCUUUCGGGAUCAUUUAUAAUAUGGCUUUUUCUUUGAAGUGUAUUAAAUCACACUUUAAACUAUUAACCACUUGAACCUAAUUAAUUUAUCUUUGUUUGAACUGAUUUGUUUCUUACUCGACAUCUUAACCGAUAUUGAGAAGAAAUCAUUUUACGAAAUAAUAAAGAACAACUCUUAGCAACGGAUAUCUUGGUUCUC